Oncorhynchus tshawytscha (Chinook salmon) is the source of this 754-nucleotide long non-coding RNA. NCBI's taxonomy places the organism in Eukaryota, Metazoa, Chordata, Actinopteri, Salmoniformes, Salmonidae. The record is from Ensembl.
ACGGUACAGAGUCAAUGUGGAGGCUAUAUACAGGGGGUACUUGUACAGAGUCAAUGUGGAGGCUAUAUACAGGGGUACCAGUACAGAGUCAAUGUGGAGACUAUAUACAGGGGUACUGGUACAGAGUCAAUGUGGAGGCUAUAUACAGGGGGUACCGGUACAGAGUCAAUGUGGAGGCUAUAUACAGGGGGUACCGGUACAGAGUCAAUGUGGAGACUAUAUACAGGGGGUACCGGUACAGAGUCAAUGUGGAGGCUAUAUACAGGGGGUACCAGUACAGAGUCAAUGUGGAGGCUAUAUACAGGGGGUACCAGUACAGAGUCAAUGUGGAGGCUAUAUACAGGGUAUUACGGUACAGAGUCAAUGUGGAGGCUAUAUACAGGGGGUACUGGUACAGAGUCAAUGUGGAGGCUAUAUACAGGGGGUACCGGUACAGAGUCAAUGUGGAGGCUAUAUACAGGGGGUACCGGUACAGAGUCAAUGUGGAGGCUAUAUACAGGGGUACCAGUACAGAGUCAAUGUGGAGGCUAUAUACAGGGGGUACCAGUACAGAGUCAAUGUGGAGACUAUAUACAGGGGGUACCAGUACAGAGUCAAUGUGGAGGCUAUAUACAGGGGGUACCAAUACAGAGUCAAUGUGGAGGCUAUAUACAGGGGGUACCAGUACAGAGUCAAUGUGGAGGCUAUAUACAGGGGGUACCAGUACAGAGUCAAUGUGGAGGCUAUAUACAGGGGGUACCAAUACAGAGUCAAU